AACGAACGCUGGCGGCAUGCCUAACACAUGCAAGUCGAACGAGACCUUCGGGUCUAGUGGCGCACGGGUGCGUAACGCGUGGGAAUCUGCCCUUCGGUUGGGAAUAACUGAGAGAAAUUUCAGCUAAUACAUUAUAAUGUCUUCGGACCAAAGAUUUGUCGCCGAGGGAUGAGCCCGCGUAGGAUUAGGUAGUUGGGGGGGUAAUGGCCUACCAAGCCGACGAUCCUUAGCUGGUCUGAGAGGAUGAUCAGCCACACUGGGACUGAGACACGGCCCAGACUCCUACGGGAUGCAGCAGUGGGGAAUAUUGGACAAUGGGCGAAAGCCUGAUCCAGCAAUGCCGCGUGAGUGAUGAAGGCCUUAGGGUUGUAAAGCUCUUUUACCCGGGAUGAUAAUGACAGUACCGGGAGAAUAAGCUCCGGCUAACUCCGUG
This 433-nucleotide ribosomal RNA is filed under the name uncultured bacterium. RNAcentral describes it as "partial 16S ribosomal RNA". It matches the Rfam family "Bacterial small subunit ribosomal RNA", at positions 29 to 507 of the family's 1533-position model. The record is from RNAcentral.